Molecule: ribosomal RNA, 253 nt
Filed under: uncultured bacterium
Lineage: Bacteria
Description: partial 16S ribosomal RNA
Rfam family: Bacterial small subunit ribosomal RNA
Source: RNAcentral
UACGGAGGGUGCAAGCGUUGUCCGGAAUUACUGGGCGUAAAGGGCGCGUAGGCGGCAUGGCAAGUCGGGAGUGAAAUGCCUGGGCUCAACCGAGGAACUGCUUUCGAGACUGCCAAGCUAGAGUGCGGAAGGGGCAUCUGGAAUUCCCAGUGUAGCGGUGAAAUGCGUAGAUAUCGGGAGGAACACCUGUGGCGAAGGCGGCCACCUGGACAACAACUGACGCUGAGACGCGAAAGCGUGGGUAGCAAACAGG